GCUCGCGCUAGUUUUAGAGAAAACUGAUGUGGAAAACUCAGCCAGAAGCUAGCAAGUGUCAAGUGAAUCGACAACAUCACCACAAACGUCUUUUCAAGCCAGAGAGUGGAGAGGAAGGGGAGGACAAAGACUGGAUAGGAAGAAGAGUGAAAGAGAGAGAGGAGGAAAGAUUGGAGAAGGAAAGAUUAAGGGAGUAAAAAGAGUGAAGCGAGGAGAGUGUGGAAGAGUGAGGUGGAAAGGUAAAGAGAAGGAAAGGAAAAAAGAGCAGGAAGAGGAGUGAAGAAAAGAGGAGGAGAAAGAUUGGAGGAGAAGAAAAAGUUAAGAGUAAGAAGAGUGACACAAGGAGAGUGAAGAAGAGCAGACAGAGGAGGUACAAUGGCUCAUUCCAAGAAACUGAAAUGCCAUUUUAAUGACAACAUGAGAAAAUGUCCAUUUAUACACUCCGGUCAAGACGAUAGAAUGGUGAACUGCACCCUUUGUAAUUCCUCUUUUUCAAUUGGCAGCGGGGGAAGAACGGCAGUGGUAGAACAUCAAUAGAC
Long non-coding RNA from Oncorhynchus tshawytscha (Chinook salmon), 539 nucleotides. Lineage: Eukaryota; Metazoa; Chordata; Actinopteri; Salmoniformes; Salmonidae. The record is from Ensembl.